UUGCAAACAAAUAGAUUUCUUAGUGAUCAUAAUAUCAGGUGGUGACUCUUGAACCUUUCAAAAUCAUGAUUUUAUGAUUAAUCCCAACACAUUCAAAAACCCCUCGAUCUCAAAGGAAAACCCGUCAUUUGACUUCGUGCACGUCACGACAAUAUAGCGAUUUCAUUGGGGACUUUUUAGUUGGACUAAACUUUGUUGAUUGUUUGUUUUUUGUGCCCAAUUUGUUUGUUGGUCUGGGUGAUUUAAUUUUAUCAUGCAUUUUCCUACAUAUUGUUGAUGCAUAAAUACAUUCACUAUGGAUUCAUGCCUUCAUGCAUUUUAAUUCUGUAAGUAUUAAAAUAUUAUUGGUCACGGUCUAAGAGGGACUCACUGUUGUUGCUAGCGCUGAGUGCGGCUGACUACAACCGUUGCUCAGAAGAAACAAUCUCAUAUUGCUCACGGUGGUUGCUGCUCAAGCAACUGAAAUCAUUGUUGUCGGUGCUGAGAAGAGAAGGUUGCUGCUAGAAGUGCAGGGGUGUAGCUGGUGCAGGCGAUUGGUGCUUUCAGUGAGGAGGAAAAAAUGUGUGACCUAUGGCCAAGAUGGAGGAACCUCUCUACUGCUGUUGGCUUGAGCUUGCUUAUGGUUGCUAGAGCUGAGGAUGACGCUGCUGUUAUGGUUGAUGCAUGCUCACGGUGGUUGAGGAAUUGUGACUAUCGAUGAUGGUUGCGUGCUGGUGCAAAAAGAGGAGAAGAGAAAGGUUGAAAUUGGCUUUCUGAAGGUGAUGAAGGGUCGCCUCUAGUGUUUUUUUGUUUUUGGUGAACAAGAGGAAAAGCAACGUGUAUGGACGGAUUGUUGAAGAUGGGACACGGUGGCACAGUUUAUACAAUGGGAGCUAGUUUUUUUUUUUUUUUUAUUGUGCUUCCCCUUUGAUGUAUACACUGAAAUCUGUAU
This 931-nucleotide long non-coding RNA is filed under the name Populus trichocarpa (black cottonwood). RNAcentral's name for it is "long non-coding RNA (PTRI_LNC001540)". Lineage: Eukaryota; Viridiplantae; Streptophyta; Magnoliopsida; Malpighiales; Salicaceae. The record is from RNAcentral.